Molecule: long non-coding RNA, 243 nt
Filed under: Apteryx owenii (little spotted kiwi)
Lineage: Eukaryota; Metazoa; Chordata; Aves; Apterygiformes; Apterygidae
Description: lncRNA (ENSAOWG00000016190.1)
Source: RNAcentral
GGUGGUAUUAAAUCCUUUGCAAUCAUUCAUGUGUAUUUCCCCAAACUCAGAGGGGAUCAGAAGAAAGGAACAAUGACACACAGUCUCUUUUAAGUUUAUCACACAUCAGAACUUUCUGGAAUAUGCUAUUUUAGACUUAUCAGAGAUGUGAAGCAUGCAAGUCAAAUUGAAUUCAGGCUUAUGCAAUAAUACACUGAAGUCAGAAAUGUUGUGACUGCAGUUAGUAAGCGGAGGCAUCAGACU